Perognathus longimembris pacificus (Pacific pocket mouse) is the source of this 835-nucleotide long non-coding RNA. RefSeq lists it as uncharacterized. The transcript has 3 exons. Lineage: Eukaryota; Metazoa; Chordata; Mammalia; Rodentia; Heteromyidae. The record is from RefSeq and is a predicted model, not a curated record.
GUUAUCAAAAUAACAAACCCAGAUAAUGCUUCCCCUGAAACCGAAACUGUCUCAAUUAGUUUAUGUGUCACUUCACCAAUGUUGACUAGGAUGAUGAUAAACCUAGCACAACACAGGGGCCUCUGAAAAGCUCAGUCUGGGAAGAUGUCCUUGGCUCCAAGGUAGAAGGACCUAGUGGAGAGGAUGCUAUAGCCUGCCAGCAGCAUGGCUUAUAACAAGAUCUCAAUUUACAUCAUGGUUACAGCACGUGUGGUACAGUCAGCUGGUGCUUUGAUUCUGCAGUGCCUUCCCAUCAGAGCCCUUUAUUUGCAAGCAAACUCUCUGGAGAUGAAUACCUGGUUUGGGGGAAAGUAAUUAGCUAAUUAAUUCCACUCAGACAUUGUUACUGAGUAUCUAAGAUGUGCUAGGCAUAUUAGUGGCAAUUGAAGAAGCCAUACGUUUUAUAUAUUUAUUACCCUUCUAAAUACCAUCAGAGUCACAGUUCAAGAUUCUGGGAUGCAACAGAAUGAACCAACUACCUCUUUUCAAAGAUCUACAAUCGCUGGUAAGUUCCCAAGUCUUUCUAACCCAGGACAACCAUCUUUAGUUCCAGGGAUAGACUUCUACUAUCUUAGGCUGUCCUCUGUUUUGUCUCUUGUUUCUCAUAUUGCCUUUAAAACAUGGUGCCCCGUGUCCACUCCAACUGGAAUGUACCAGUACACUGUAUUAGAAUGACUACCCCUCUUACCAUGAAGCUUCAAACUUCUAUUCAUUGGCCCAUAGUUUCCUUUUAUUCUUUUCAUUUUGAAGUUCCAUAUAGCUCUCUGCAUCAAGGAUGGCCAAUUUUGCAUAAAAA